UCCCCGUUAUCCUGGGCAGUCCUUCCAGAGUUCCCGAAGGCACCAAUCCAUCUCUGGAAAGUUCUCGACAUGUCAAGGCCAGGUAAGGUUCUUCGCGUUGCAUCGAAUUAAACCACAUACUCCACCGCUUGUGCGGGCCCCCGUCAAUUCCUUUGAGUUUCAGUCUUGCGACCGUACUCCCCAGGCGGCGAACUUAACGCGUUAGCUUCGAUACUGCGUGCCAAAUUGCACCCAACAUCCAGUUCGCAUCGUUUAGGGCGUGGACUAC
Molecule: unclassified non-coding RNA, 268 nt
Filed under: uncultured Lysobacteraceae bacterium
Lineage: Bacteria; Pseudomonadati; Pseudomonadota; Gammaproteobacteria; Lysobacterales; Lysobacteraceae
Description: uncultured Xanthomonadaceae bacterium contains 16S-23S intergenic spacer region
Source: RNAcentral